This is a long non-coding RNA of Apteryx haastii (Great spotted kiwi), 1768 nucleotides long. The record is from Ensembl. Lineage: Eukaryota; Metazoa; Chordata; Aves; Apterygiformes; Apterygidae.
AUGCCGCAGGGGGUGCCGGGCAGGGAUGGGCGCUGUGGGAGGUGCGAGGCCGCAUGGCCUCCCGCAAAGCCUCGGCUGCUCCCAGGGAGCUGCUCCAGCACACCGGGACGGGACGGGAAUGGGGAUGGGGACAAGUGCCCCAGCGACCUGCACUGCUGCACCGGGGAGCGGCGCCACGACGGCCCUGCCGCCCGCCGGGCCCACGGCAGCCGCAGCGCCCGGAGCCUGCCGGUGUGCAGCCGGGGCUGCUGCGCCUGUGCCCCCCGCAGCCCCGCGCCCCGGCCCUGCCACGGAGCUGGCGACUCCUCACCCUGGGUGGGCAGAGCCGGAACCCUGGAGCCGGAGACCUCCGUGCACCAGGCUCCCGGUGGGAACUGGCCUGGCAGUGAUGCGGAGCCGGGCGUCAGUCCCGGGGGUGGCUGCGGCUGCGGCUGCGGUUGCGGUUGCGGCUGCUGCACGAGGCUGGGCCGCCCGCCAGGCGCAUGGAGCUGGAGCAUGGAGGAGCAGCGCUGGAACAGGGCCUGGAGCCGCCGAGAGCCAGAGGAGAGCCGGGAGAGCCGGCGCUGGGGGCAGGACUGCGGCUGGGGACCUGGCUGCCCCAGCAGGGAGCAGGAGGAGGACGGCGGGCCGUGGGAAGGGUGCCCACUGCAGCCCCCUGCCCUGGACAGGGGUCCUGGCCGGGACCGGGGACAGCCCACGCCGUGGGACCCGGACUCAGCGCAGCGCAGCCCCGGAGGAGCAGCAGAGCCCGCGGCCGGGACCGAGCCGCCUGGCCCUGACGGCAGGGCGGCGCGGGCAGAGCAGCCAGGCUCCGCCGCGCUAAAUAAAGUGGCCGCUGGCGGCCGACCCCGAGUGCUGCGCGUGGCGGAGGCUGAAACAUGUCGAGGCCCCGGCCGCUACCCCCUGCCCAUGCACCACCUGCCCCAGCCGGGCGUCGCGCUGGCCCUCCCCUGCCCAAAACCCCCUCUGCAAAUGCCGCCCACCCUCGAUGCACGAGCUGGCGCUGCCCCGGGCUGCCGGCUCCCCGUGCCGUGUGAAGGGCAGCACCGGAGCACGAGGCUGGGUUUUCCGGGGCCUGCCCUGGGCUGGAGUAUUUGGCCUCCCAGCCGCGGGUUCCCUGCUCCCUGCAAGGGGCUGGGCUGUUCCCCACGGAGCAGCCGAGGACCAGGGGGGCGCUGGGCGCCCUCCUCCUCCCCCAGACCUUAGACCCCUGCUCUAAGGGUCUCACCCAGGGGCCGGGAGCCCGCGCGCCCCGGGACGCUUGCAGGAACAGGGCUGCUCCCUGCCGCAGGGGGCCCGCGAGCCUGCAGCUCCCGCAGGAACUGGGUGCAGGAAGGGGGAUGCACUGGCACCAGCGAGGGUGCUGCUUCCCUUCUGCCCCACGCGCCGCAGCGCCAGGGCACCGGGAUGCGGUGGGGGCGCUGGCGGCAGCACCCGGCGUGCCGGCAGCGAGGGAGGUGGGUCAGGAGCCGCCAGCGCGCCCCCGGCCGAGCCCCUCCCCGCCAAGGACCAGAGGAGCCCGGCGCUUCGCACAUUCGCACUUUAUUCGGACGCCCUAGGUACAGGUGAGCGCAGCGACGGGGCGGCAUGCAGCAGCGCAGGAGCCCCGGGGAAGGGCCGCGGGGGGGGAGCGACGGGGACACGAGCAGCGGGGAAACCCCCGGCCCCCGGGGAGCGCGCCCGGCCCGCGCGGCCGGCAGCCGAGCCCCGGGCCGGGGGAGCGCGCUUGCCUGCGGUGCGGAGCCCAGCAGUCCCCGGGCUGCGGCCA